Molecule: ribosomal RNA, 492 nt
Filed under: uncultured bacterium
Lineage: Bacteria
Description: partial 16S ribosomal RNA
Rfam family: Bacterial small subunit ribosomal RNA
Source: RNAcentral
AGUGAACGCUGGCGGUAGGCCUAACACAUGCAAGUCGAACGGCAGCACAGUAAGAGCUUGCUCUUACGGGUGGCGAGUGGCGGACAGGUGAGGAAUACAUCGGAAUCUACUUUUUCGUGGGGGAUAACGUAGGGAAACUUACGCUAAUACCGCAUACGACCUACGGGUGAAAGCAGGGGAUCUUCGGACCUUGCGCGAUUGAAUGAGCCGAUGUCGGAUUAGCUAGUUGGCGGGGUAAAGGCCCACCAAGGCGACGAUCCGUAGCUGGUCUGAGUGGAUGAUCAGCCACACUGGAACUGAGACACGGUCCAGACUCCUACGGGAGGCAGCAGUGGGGAAUAUUGGACAAUGGGCGCAAGCCUGAUCCAGCCAUACCGCGUGGGUGAAGAAGGCCUUCGGGUUGUAAAGCCCUUUUGUUGGGAAAGAAAAGCAGCAGGUUAAUACCCCGCUGUUCUGACGGUACCCAAAGAAUAAGCACCGGCUAACUUCGUG